RNAcentral lists this unclassified non-coding RNA (324 nucleotides) under soil metagenome. Its description in RNAcentral is "partial contains 5.8S ribosomal RNA, internal transcribed spacer 2, and large subunit ribosomal RNA". The stretch from base 1 to 121 matches the Rfam family "5.8S ribosomal RNA", at positions 35 to 154 of the family's 154-position model. The record is from RNAcentral.
GAUGAAGAACGCAGUGAAAUGCGAUAAGUAAUGUGAAUUGCAGAAUUCAGUGAAUCAUCGAAUCUUUGAACGCACCUUGCGCCCUUUGGCUAUUCCGAAGGGCAUGCCUGUUCGAGCGUCAUUUCAACCCUCAAGCUCUGCUUGGUGUUGGGCCCUGCCCGCUGCGGCCGGCCCUAAAGACAGUGGCGGUGCCGCCUGGCCCUGAGCGUAGUACAUCUCUCGCUCCAGUGCCCGGUGGUAGCCUGCCAGAACCCCAACUCUCGUGGUUGACCUCGGAUCAGGUAGGGAUACCCGCUGAACUUAAGCAUAUCAAUAAGCGGAGGA